RNAcentral lists this ribosomal RNA (253 nucleotides) under uncultured bacterium. RNAcentral describes it as "partial 16S ribosomal RNA". It matches the Rfam family "Bacterial small subunit ribosomal RNA", at positions 524 to 776 of the family's 1533-position model. The record is from RNAcentral.
GACGUAGGGGGCCAGCGUUGUUCGGAAUUACUGGGUGUAAAGGGUUCGUAGGCGGUGCGGCAAGUCGGGAGUGAAAUCUCUGGGCUUAACCCAGAGGCUGCUUCCGAAACUGCUGUGCUUGAGUGUGGGAGAGGCGCGUGGAAUUGCAGGUGUAGCGGUGAAAUGCGUAGAUAUCUGUAGGAACACCCGUGGCGAAAGCGGCGCGCUGGACCACUACUGACGCUGAGGCGCGAAAGCCAGGGGAGCGAACGGG